Molecule: ribosomal RNA, 2875 nt
Filed under: Burkholderia sp. AD24
Lineage: Bacteria; Pseudomonadati; Pseudomonadota; Betaproteobacteria; Burkholderiales; Burkholderiaceae
Description: bacterial LSU rRNA
Rfam family: Bacterial large subunit ribosomal RNA
Source: RNAcentral
UCAAGCGAACAAGUGCAUGUGGUGGAUGCCUUGGCGAUCACAGGCGAUGAAGGACGCGGUAGCCUGCGAAAAGCUACGGGGAGCUGGCAAACGAGCUUUGAUCCGUAGAUGUCCGAAUGGGGAAACCCACUCCGAAUGGAGUAUCCAUGACUGAAUACAUAGGUCAUGUGAAGCGAACGCGGUGAACUGAAACAUCUAAGUAACCGCAGGAAAAGAAAUCAACCGAGAUUCCCAGAGUAGUGGCGAGCGAAAUGGGAUCAGCCUGUACUCUUUAUCUUCAUUGUUAGUCGAAGGCUCUGGAAAGUGCCGCCAUAGCAGGUGAUAGCCCUGUAGACGAAAACAGCGAGGAAGAACUAGGUGUACGACAAGUAGGGCGGGACACGUGAAAUCCUGUCUGAAGAUGGGGGGACCAUCCUCCAAGGCUAAAUACUCGUGAUCGACCGAUAGUGAACCAGUACCGUGAGGGAAAGGCGAAAAGAACCCCGGGAGGGGAGUGAAAUAGAUCCUGAAACCGCAUGCAUACAAACAGUAGGAGCCUCGCAAGGGGUGACUGCGUACCUUUUGUAUAAUGGGUCAGCGACUUACAUUCAGUGGCAAGCUUAACCGAUUAGGGCAGGCGUAGCGAAAGCGAGUCCGAACAGGGCGAUUCAGUCGCUGGGUGUAGACCCGAAACCAGGUGAUCUAUCCAUGGCCAGGAUGAAGGUGCGGUAACACGUACUGGAGGUCCGAACCCACUAACGUUGAAAAGUUAGGGGAUGAGCUGUGGAUAGGGGUGAAAGGCUAAACAAACCUGGAAAUAGCUGGUUCUCUCCGAAAACUAUUUAGGUAGUGCCUCGUGUAUCACCUUCGGGGGUAGAGCACUGUCAUGGUUGUGGGGUCCAUUGCGGAUUACUACGCCAUAGCAAACUCCGAAUACCGAAGAGUGCAAUCACGGGAGACAGACAUCGGGUGCUAACGUCCGGUGUCAAGAGGGAAACAACCCAGACCGCCAGCUAAGGUCCCCAAAUAUUGCUAAGUGGGAAACGAAGUGGGAAGGCUAAAACAGUCAGGAGGUUGGCUUAGAAGCAGCCAUCCUUUAAAGAAAGCGUAAUAGCUCACUGAUCGAGUCGUCCUGCGCGGAAGAUGUAACGGGGCUAAGCAAUAUACCGAAGCUGCGGAUGCACAUUUAUGUGCAUGGUAGGAGAGCGUUCCGUAAGCCUGCGAAGGUGCACUGGAAAGUGUGCUGGAGGUAUCGGAAGUGCGAAUGCUGACAUGAGUAGCGAUAAAGGGGGUGAAAAGCCCCCUCGCCGUAAGCCCAAGGUUUCCUACGCAACGUUCAUCGGCGUAGGGUGAGUCGGCCCCUAAGGCGAGGCAGAAAUGCGUAGCUGAUGGGAAGCAGGUUAAUAUUCCUGCACCAUUGUUAAAUGCGAUGGGGGGACGGAUCGCGGAAGGUUGUCCGGGUGUUGGAAGUCCCGGUCCUUGCAUUGGAGAAGGCGCUUAGGCAAAUCCGGGCGCGGAAUUCAAGGGUGCGAGGCCAUUCACUUCGGUGAAGAAGCAAUCGGAAGUGGUUCCAAGAAAAGCCUCUAAGCUUCAGUUUAACAAGACCGUACCGCAAACCGACACAGGUGGGCGAGAUGAGUAUUCUAAGGCGCUUGAGAGAACUCGGGAGAAGGAACUCGGCAAAUUGGUACCGUAACUUCGGGAUAAGGUACGCCCUGUAGCUUGACUGGCUCGCGCCAGAAGGGUGAAGGGGUUGCAAUAAACUGGUGGCUGCGACUGUUUAAUAAAAACACAGCACUCUGCAAACACGAAAGUGGACGUAUAGGGUGUGACGCCUGCCCGGUGCCGGAAGAUUAAAUGAUGGGGUGCAAGCUCUUGAUUGAAGUCCCGGUAAACGGCGGCCGUAACUAUAACGGUCCUAAGGUAGCGAAAUUCCUUGUCGGGUAAGUUCCGACCUGCACGAAUGGCGUAACGAUGGCCACACUGUCUCCUCCCGAGACUCAGCGAAGUUGAAGUGUUUGUGAUGAUGCAAUCUCCCCGCGGCUAGACGGAAAGACCCCAUGAACCUUUACUGUAGCUUUGCAUUGGACUUUGAACCGAUCUGUGUAGGAUAGGUGGGAGGCUAUGAAGCGUGGACGCCAGUCUGCGUGGAGCCGUCCUUGAAAUACCACCCUGGUUUGUUUGAGGUUCUAACCUUGGUCCGUAAUCCGGAUCGGGGACAGUGCAUGGUAGGCAGUUUGACUGGGGCGGUCUCCUCCCAAAGUGUAACGGAGGAGUACGAAGGUACGCUAGGUACGGUCGGAAAUCGUGCUGAUAGUGCAAUGGCAUAAGCGUGCUUAACUGCGAGACCGACAAGUCGAGCAGGUGCGAAAGCAGGUCAUAGUGAUCCGGUGGUUCUGUAUGGAAGGGCCAUCGCUCAACGGAUAAAAGGUACUCUGGGGAUAACAGGCUGAUACCGCCCAAGAGUUCAUAUCGACGGCGGUGUUUGGCACCUCGAUGUCGGCUCAUCUCAUCCUGGGGCUGUAGCCGGUCCCAAGGGUAUGGCUGUUCGCCAUUUAAAGAGGUACGUGAGCUGGGUUUAAAACGUCGUGAGACAGUUUGGUCCCUAUCUGCCGUGGGCGCUGGAUAUUUGAAGGGGGCUGCUCCUAGUACGAGAGGACCGGAGUGGACGAACCUCUGGUGUACCGGUUGUCACGCCAGUGGCAUCGCCGGGUAGCUAUGUUCGGAAGAGAUAACCGCUGAAAGCAUCUAAGCGGGAAACUCGCCUUAAGAUGAGAUAUCCCCGGGGCUUCGAGCCCCUUGAAGGGUCGUUCAAGACCAGGACGUUGAUAGGUCAGGUGUGGAAGCGCAGUAAUGCGUUAAGCUAACUGAUACUAAUUGCCCGUAAGGCUUGAUC